This 497-nucleotide ribosomal RNA is filed under the name uncultured bacterium. Its description in RNAcentral is "partial 16S ribosomal RNA". It matches the Rfam family "Bacterial small subunit ribosomal RNA", at positions 28 to 507 of the family's 1533-position model. The record is from RNAcentral.
GAUGAACGCUGGCGGCGUGCCUAAUACAUGCAAGUCGAGCGAACGGACGAUAAGCUUGCUUCUCUGAUGUUAGCGGCUGACGGGUGAGUAACACGUGGAUAACCUUCCUAUAAUACUGGGAUAACUUCGGGAAACCGGAUCUACUACCGGAUAAUAUUUUGAACCGCAUGGUUCAAAAGUUAAAGACGGUCUUGCUGUCACUUAUAGCUGGAUCCGCGGUGCAUUAGCUAGUUGGUAAGGUAACGGCUUACCAAGGCAACGAUGCAUAGCCGACCUGAGAGGGUGAUCGGCCAAACUGGAACUGAGACAAGGUCCAGAAUCCUAAGGGAGGCAGCAGUAGGGAAACUUCCGAAAUGGGCGAAAGCCUGAAGGAGCAAAGCCGCGUGAGUGAUGAAGGUCUUCGGAUCGGAAAACUCUGUUAUUAGGGAAGAAAAUAUGUGUAAGUAACUGUGCACAUCUUGACGGUAACUAAUCAGAAAGCCACGGCUAACUACGUG